GACGAACGCUGGCGGCGUGCCUAACACAUGCAAGUCGAACGGAGAGGACAUGAAGUAUUUCGGUACGGAAUGCUCUCUUAGUGGCGAACGGGUGAGUAACACGUGGGCAACCUGCCCCAGACUGGGGGAUAACAUUGUGAAAACAGUGCUAAUACCGCAUGACAGGGUUCCGGGCAUCCGGGACCCUUGAAAGGAGAAAUCCGGUCAGGGAUGGGCCCGCGUCCAAUUAGCUAGUUGGCGGGGUAACGGCCCACCAAGGCGACGAUUGGUAGCCGAACUGAGAGGUUGAUCGGCCACAUUGGGACUGAGACACGGCCCAGACUCCUACGGGAGGCAGCAGUGGGGAAUAUUGGGCAAUGGGCGAAAGCCUGACCCAGCGACGCCGCGUGAAGGAUGAAGGUCUUCGGAUUGUAAACUUCUUUGAUCAGGGAAGAAGAAAUGACGGUACCUGAAAACAAGCCACGGCUAACUACGUG
Molecule: ribosomal RNA, 476 nt
Filed under: uncultured bacterium
Lineage: Bacteria
Description: bacterial SSU rRNA
Rfam family: Bacterial small subunit ribosomal RNA
Source: RNAcentral